Molecule: ribosomal RNA, 326 nt
Filed under: uncultured eukaryote
Lineage: Eukaryota
Description: partial 18S ribosomal RNA
Rfam family: Eukaryotic small subunit ribosomal RNA
Source: RNAcentral
CCCUUAGAUGUUCUGGGCCGCACGCGCGCUACACUGAAGGGAUCAGCGUGUUUUCCCUUUCCGAGAGGAACGGGUAACCCGCUGAACCCCCUUCGUGGUAGGGAUCGGAGCUUGCAAUUGUUCUCUGUGAACCAGGAAUUCCCAGUAAGCGCAAGUCAUAAGCUUGCGUUGAUUACGUCCCUGCCCUUUGUACACACCGCCCGUCGCUACUACCGAUUGAACGUUUUAGUGAGGUAUUUGGACUGGGCCUUGGGAGGUUUCGGCCUCCCUUGUUGCUCGGAAAGACUCCCAAACUUGAGCGUUUAGAGGAAGUAAAAGUCGUAACA